Molecule: ribosomal RNA, 277 nt
Filed under: uncultured bacterium
Lineage: Bacteria
Description: partial 16S ribosomal RNA
Rfam family: Bacterial small subunit ribosomal RNA
Source: RNAcentral
CUUUCUCCGCCGGCGACCGGCGCACGGGUGAGUAACACGUAUGCAACCUGCCCCUGUCAGGGGGACAACCCGUCCGAAAGGCGGGCUAAACCCGCGUACAUGCCACCGGGGCAUCCCGGAGGCAGGAAAGGCUUCGGCCGGACAGGGAUGGGCAUGCGGCGCAUUAGGCAGUAGGCGGGGUAACGGCCCACCUAACCGACGAUGCGUAGGGGUUCUGAGAGGAAGGUCCCCCACACUGGUACUGAGACACGGACCAGACUCCUACGGGAGGCAGCAG